Molecule: long non-coding RNA, 1654 nt
Organism: Rattus norvegicus (Norway rat)
Lineage: Eukaryota; Metazoa; Chordata; Mammalia; Rodentia; Muridae
Source: Ensembl
CGAUUCUUCUGUAUCAGCCUCAUAAGUGCUGGGAUCACAGGCAUGGGCCACCAGCCCAGCUACAGCUCCUGGCCAUAGCUGGUAUGGCAGUUAUAACAAGCUUACAUCAGCCUGCAAACUGCCGGCAUGGAAUCUUGACCCUCUGGCAUUCUGUAGCAUGCUUGGGUGCAAGAUCAGGCAAAAACUAGAGAGUCAAAGAAAGAGAACGUUAGUGAAGGCCAGAGUUGGCAAUUUGAUGUUCUUUACACAGCAAGAGGGCCCAGAAAUGGCAGUGAAAUCUGCACACCAGAGAGGGAAUCUUAACAUGUUUUCUCAUGUUAUGCCUUCCAUUAGCAUGCAUGUAGAUGAUAGGUCACUUUCAUGGUUCACAAAGGCAUUUAUACACAGUUCAUAUUUAGCAGCCUAAAACAACAAGAGCAACAACAAAGAUACUGCCUUGUCUUAACUGUACGCACUUAAUUAUUGUACUGUCUGGUUUUGUGUGUCAAGUUGACACAAGCUGGAGUUAUCACAGAAAAAGGAGCCUCAGUUGUGGGAAAUGCCUUCACGAGACCCAGCUGUAAGACAUUUUCUCAGUUAGUGAUCAUGGGGGUGAGUACCCAGUCCAUUGUGGGUGGUGCUAUCCCUGGGCUGGUGGUCUGGUCUUGUGUUCUAUAAGAAAGCAAGCUGAGCAAGCCAGGGGAAACAAGCCGGUAAGUACCAUCCGUCCAUGGCCUCUGCAUCAGCUCCUGCUUCCUGACCUGUUUGAGCUCCAGUCCUGACUUCCUUUGGUGGUGAACAGCAUGGAAGUAAAUUGAAUAAACCCUUUCCUCCCCAACUUGCUUCAUAAUGUUUGUGCAGGAAUAGGAAUCCUGACUAAGACAAAUUGGUACCAGAAGUGGGGUAUUCCUGUGACAACCUGAACAUAUUUUGGGGAGGACUGUGGAAGGACUUUGGAACUUUGAGCUAGAAGAGCCAUUGGGUGUUAAGGGAUCUGGAGCCUAGAAGACAAGGUGUGUGCUACAAAGGGCAGAUCUGGAGAAGUGACCCAAGCCCUUGGAGGAGCCUAGAAGAUUGUAAGUGGAUCCCAGACAUUGGAUGGUUGGAGUUUGAUUUUGCUUUUGAUUGUGACUGUGCCCUGAUAUUUUUCCCUCUUGAAGGAAGACAGUAUUCUAGUGGACUCCACAGUUAAGAGACUUUGAAUUUUAAAAAGACUUUGAAUUUUAAAAGAUAUUGUGUAUUUUAAAUGGAUUGAACUUUUAAUAUAUAAAGACUGUGUGACUCUUAAAGUUAUUUAGAUCUUGGGGAUGAAUAAGACAGUAGGGUUGAGGCUUAAUAGUGAUGUGUUUGUGUGUCAAGUUGACAAGGGGUCAAUUGUACUGUCUGGUUUUGUGUGUCAACUUGACAGAAGCUGGAGUUAUCACAGAAAAAGGAGCCUCAGUUGUGGAAAUGCCUUCAUGGGACCCAGCUGUAAGGCAUUUUCUCAAUGAGUGAUUAAGGAGGAGAUGUUUGCUGUGUUCUGUAGCUGCAGAUCUUCAGGCUGUCACUGUCCUCAUCACUGUGGACCAGUGGUGAGGCAGAGACAGAGCAUCAGCAGGAGGAGUCUGGGAAGGAGACAAACGAGAGACAGGAAGGGGCGGGAUUAAGAUCCACACUUCAGAGCACAGCCCUUGCA